RNAcentral lists this ribosomal RNA (435 nucleotides) under uncultured Lachnospiraceae bacterium. RNAcentral's name for it is "bacterial SSU rRNA". It matches the Rfam family "Bacterial small subunit ribosomal RNA", at positions 341 to 792 of the family's 1533-position model. Lineage: Bacteria; Bacillati; Bacillota; Clostridia; Lachnospirales; Lachnospiraceae. The record is from RNAcentral.
ACGGAAGGCAGCAGUGGGGAAUAUUGCACAAUGGGGGAAACCCUGAUGCAGCGACGCCGCGUGAGUGAAGAAGUAUUUCGGUAUGUAAAGCUCUAUCAGCAGGGACGAAUUCGGACGGUACCUGACUAAGAAGCCCCGGCUAACUACGUGCCAGCAGCCGCGGUAAUACGUAGGUGGCAAGCGUUAUCCGGAUUUACUGGGUGUAAAGGGCGCGUAGGCGGGAAGGCAAGUCAGAUGUGAAAUCCAUGAGCUCAACUCAUGAACUGCAUUUGAAACUGUCUUUCUUGAGUGUCGGAGAGGUAGAUGGAAUUCCUAGUGUAGCGGUGAAAUGCGUAGAUAUUAGGAAGAACACCAGUGGCGAAGGCGAUCUACUGGACGAUAACUGACGCUGAGGCGCGAAAGCGUGGGGAGCAAACAGGAUUAGAUACCCUGGUA